RNAcentral lists this long non-coding RNA (902 nucleotides) under Homo sapiens (human). RNAcentral's name for it is "HSALNT0072443". The record is from RNAcentral. Lineage: Eukaryota; Metazoa; Chordata; Mammalia; Primates; Hominidae.
UUGAAUGAUUCCUAUUGCAAGGAGUUGUCUGAUUUAAUCAGUGUAGACAACUGAUCUGAAUAACAUGAACCUCCUAUCUAAUUUUAUCAAUAGCUUUGAGAGGUUUGGGGAUAUAUUACUGACACAUCUUCAGUGGUUCACUUCAUUUUCUUUGUGAUUGCCUGUCAACCUUCCAUUUUUUAUGAUGAAAAACCCAUCUGUGUUAUGAUGAAUUGGCUUUGUUUCCAUGUUAUGUCCUACACCUAAUACAUUAUUAUUUAGAGCUGUAAUUAAACAUUACUAAACAGUUUAAUAGGGUGUUUCAUAGUUCAAGGUAAGACUAACUUUAUUCAGCAGGGAAAAUCUGAUUUUAUUAUUUACUUUAUUUGAGGUCAGAUUAUUUUCAAAUAGUUAAAUAAAGUUAAAUAUAUUCAAUAUGUACAUAAACUUGAGAACUCUAAAGAGAAAAUUCCUCCCCAAACAACUACAUCAUAGAGCUAGGAGGAGGAAAAAGCCCCAAGUUGUAUUUCCAAAAAAACAAAAAAGAAAUAUUUAAUUAGAGUAAUUUAUAGAUUUAAAGAACUGACCCUAUAGCUUGAGUUCUACAUUAUAGUUCAUCACAAUGAAAUUCAAAGAACAUUUUCUCUUUUACUGGAAAUCUAAUUGCAUGCAUGGUCUCUGCAUAGUUGUAAAAGUGUAAUCAUAUAUUGCCUCAUAUUACUUGAAUUUAUUGCCUGUGUAUUAUUGUAACUAGAAAGACAGUCAUAGAGGGGUGAGGUUGUGGGUCUUAUUCUUGUACUUCUCCACCCAGUGCCUUUCACAGAACCGAGCCCAAAGUUGUUCAUGAUAUAUACUUUUGACUUGAUGACUUGAUUAAUUGUUCCGUUGCUUUUAUUGUAAUGUAAUUUGCUGCAUUUGGGUCG